GCCAAUUUAAAAGAAAGCGGAUUCAAAAAUAUCGAGAUACGUGUUGACGGGUCAUAAACAUUAUACCGACUGUAUGAAUACAAGUGAUCAAAUUGCAUUAAACCAUUCAGUCAAUGCCAAUCAUCCCAGAGACAAGAAAUUAGAACAGUUGAUUAAACUGUCUGAGAUCUCACUAUGGUACUCUCACGAUAUUUCCAAAACGUCUAUCCUUCCUUUAUUUACGGAUUCCUUAUUCUUACAAGUUUGAUCUCAGUAUAUCCAGUGACCAAUACUGGUGAUUUCUUGGAAACGCGCAAUUCGACUCAUUGUCUUAUUGAUGGAAACAGGAAAACUGGAAACAGGAAAUUUUGCUACAGUAUAGGUAAUAUUAGCAUAGUUUUAAAGGGAAGAUGAAAGAAAAAGGAACUAUCAUGAUUUGUAGCGAGAUUUAAACUGACUAAAAUUUAAAGCCAACUUUUUGACUUUUCUUUUCAUGAGAAAGAUCAGCAGUGUAAUACUUUUUUAACGGUACAUAUCAUUAAUCAAAUAAACCUUGAACUUAGAGACGUUA
Molecule: long non-coding RNA, 550 nt
Organism: Xenia sp. Carnegie-2017
Lineage: Eukaryota; Metazoa; Cnidaria; Anthozoa; Malacalcyonacea; Xeniidae
Exons: 2
Source: RefSeq, a predicted model, not a curated record